Molecule: long non-coding RNA, 366 nt
Filed under: Sorghum bicolor (sorghum)
Lineage: Eukaryota; Viridiplantae; Streptophyta; Magnoliopsida; Poales; Poaceae
Description: long non-coding RNA (SBIC_LNC015468)
Source: RNAcentral
CCAGCAGGACAUGCUUUGACACCUUUAUGGCUUUCAGCUUCUUUUGUCCCUUAAAAAUGCAUCAGUUCGAUGGUACAUGUUUGAGUGUUACGAUGGUAAGGAUAUUGCUGUUAUUGUAGGAUACAAUUAGCUAGGAGUAUUGGCUUAUUAAAAUUUGUCCUAUAUGGUUCCAUCUUAUUUAUAUGAUUGUCUGAGAUCCAAGGCACAAGGUUGAACACAUAUGAUUCCAUCUCCAUGAUCUACCGAAAGGGUUGCACAACCCCCAUAGUUUAGAAUUUGACACUCCUCUCAUCUAACAGCCUGUCCACCAGUUGGUGGUUUGGGCUUAUAAAGCCUUCCUCGACGUAUGACAUUCGGUUAUAAUCA